Molecule: long non-coding RNA, 444 nt
Filed under: Coccomyxa subellipsoidea
Lineage: Eukaryota; Viridiplantae; Chlorophyta; Trebouxiophyceae; Coccomyxaceae
Description: long non-coding RNA (CSUB_LNC000292)
Source: RNAcentral
GGCUACUUCCGGGAUGUCACCAAGGAGGACCUUGCAGAAAUCCUACCUCCAUUUGCCAAUCCCUUGAAAGAUCCCAUCUUUCUGAUCCCACCCAUGGGCAGACCGUACACCCUGAGCGACGAGGAUGAGCCAGCGAUGCGAUUUUUUGCUGGACAUCAACGCAAUCGUGCCAGACCAGCACCUCAGCAUCCAUUGAUGAAGGACCGUGUGUCUGAGCUAAAGGCACAGGCAGCUGCAGAGGUGCGCAUGCAAUGCAUGAUGCAUACCAUGCUGGAAGGCCUUGCUGUGUUUCGUUUUUGACAUGUUGACUCAAAUCUCUCUGGAUGUCUCACAUCUUUUUGAUUAAGCAAGAUAGUAGGAAGAUGGGCUCCUUGUGCCUGUGCAGACACCUGUGCCCCGCAACGAGGAAACACCCAACAGCGACUCUCCUGCUCUUGAUGACAC